This is a non-coding RNA of Triticum aestivum (bread wheat), 124 nucleotides long. The record is from Rfam. Lineage: Eukaryota; Viridiplantae; Streptophyta; Magnoliopsida; Poales; Poaceae.
AUUCUACUCCCUCCGUCCACAAAUACUUGUCGGAAAAUGAAUAAAAGUGAAUGUAUUUAUAAUUAAAAUACGUCUAGAUACAUUCAUUUCUCCGACAAGUAUUUCCGGACGGAGGAAGUAUUUA